AAGCAGUGGUUUGAAUGAAGUGUUGUGGGGGAUAGCAAUAUGCUAAUGCCGUCGCGUUCUUCUAAGUGCAGCACGUUUGUAGCCCUCUUGCAGCAAACAAGGCAAAAAGCUAAACUUGCAACCUUGUUGUGGCAACGUGAAAUGGCAACGCUCGUGAUGACAAGCCAAAUUGUGCAUGUGCAUACAUCUUAACCUCAGAUCAGGCAAGAUUACCCGCUGAAUUUAAGCAUAUUAAUAAGCAGAGGAAAAGAAACUAACAAGGAUUCCCCUAGUAAUGGCGAAUGAAGAGGGAAUAGCUCAAAUUGAAAAUCUCCAUUGUGUUGCAAUGGCGAAUUGUAGUUUCGAGAAAUACUUUC
Xenia sp. Carnegie-2017 is the source of this 356-nucleotide long non-coding RNA. RefSeq lists it as uncharacterized. The record is from RefSeq and is a predicted model, not a curated record. The transcript has 2 exons. Lineage: Eukaryota; Metazoa; Cnidaria; Anthozoa; Malacalcyonacea; Xeniidae.